UGGAUGGAUGGAUGGAUGGCCAAAAGUGGAACUGUUGGGCGCACCAAAUCGGCAGAUCCUUUAUGCAGGGUGCAGUGAAAGACUAAAAACAUAUCAAGGCAUUCUGGAGUGAAAUCUGCUACCCGCUGUCAAAAAAAAGUUGCAGGUCAUGAGUCCUCCAAUAGCAGCACACAUCUGAAAACACCAGAGAAUGACUCGGAACAACAACAAGAACAAAAAUCAGACUACAACUGACCAACUCCAGCCUGCCUUCGUUGAGACUUCGCUGAAGAUCCACUUGGCUGGUGAAUGAAAGAAGACUGCCCCCCUCUGGUUAUAAGAACCGUCGAGACCAGAAUAUGCAUCGCCACAUAACACUGUACAUGCUACUACAUACAGUCGUGCACCGUGGUGUCUUGAUUGCAGUACUUUGUUCCCUUUGAGACUAGAGGAAUUAUGUAUGUAUUUGAAUCGCAUCACAGAUGCACAGUUUCAAAAAAAAAAUAUGAUGUGAUUUUACCUAUCCACAAACAAUAAUUGUUUCAAACAGAAGCGGUUUUGAACACAAUUCUGCUGGCCCAGUUCAACUUUACCUUGAAAGAUAGUAUGAUUUGGUAAAAUUCCAUCCAUUUUCUUUGUCGCUUAUCCUCACAAGGGUCACAGGGAGUGCUGGAGACUAUCCCAGCUGUCAACGGGCAGGAGGCGAUGUACACCCUGAACUGGUUGCCAGCCAAUCGCAGGGCACAUGGAGACACACAACAGGCAAACUCACAAUCACACCUAGGGGCAAUUUAGAGUGUCCAAUUAAUGUUUCAUGUUUUUGGGAUGUGGGUGGAAACACACGCAAGCACGGGUAGAACAUGCAAAGUCCACACAGGGAGGGCUGGGAUUGAACCCAGGUCCUCAGAACUGUGAGGCCAAUGCUUUCCAGCUGUGCCACCGUGCCGCCCACAAAAUUAUGAUUAUCAUUAUUGGUCGUAGUAGUAAUAUGCAUGGUCGGUUAAUCGGCCAGUGUAGCACACCUCUCGCCCAAAGAAAGUCGGGAUAGGCUCCACCACACCUGCGACCCUGGUGAGAAUAAGCAGUAUGGAAAUGUUUGGAUCGAUUAGUAGUAUUGGUAAAUAUUGCUUUCAUAUCAUGUUUUAUGAUGAUUGUGUCAACCAUUUUAUUUUCAAAGGACAUUAUAACAUAGGUCAGCCGGAAAGCGUUAGCGUCACAGUUCGGAGGUCCCGGGUUCAAUCUCGGACCCGCCUGUGUGGAGUUUGUAUGUUCUCCCCAUGCCUGCGUGGGUUUUUUCUGGGCACUCCGGUUUCCUCCCACAUCCCAAAGACGUGCAUGGUAGGUUAAUUGAAGACUCUAAAUUGUCAUUAGGUGUGAUUGUGAGAGCGUCUGUUUGUCUCGAUGUGCCCUGCGAUUGCCUGGCAACCAGUUCAGGGUGUACGGUGCCUCCUGCCCGUUGACAGUUGGAUAGGCUCCAGCUCUCCCGCAACCCUCGUGAGGAUAAGCGGCUAAGAAAAUGGAAGAAAUUAUAACACUGACCCUGUUCUGUCAGAGAAAUAUCAUCAUGAAAUAAAAUGAUCAGCUCAGUAA
Syngnathoides biaculeatus (alligator pipefish) is the source of this 1569-nucleotide long non-coding RNA. RefSeq lists it as uncharacterized. The transcript has 3 exons. The record is from RefSeq and is a predicted model, not a curated record. Lineage: Eukaryota; Metazoa; Chordata; Actinopteri; Syngnathiformes; Syngnathidae.